This 431-nucleotide long non-coding RNA is filed under the name Pelobates cultripes (western spadefoot toad). The record is from RNAcentral. Lineage: Eukaryota; Metazoa; Chordata; Amphibia; Anura; Pelobatidae.
CUUGUGACGAGACCAAUCUCGCCACAUUGCAUUGGAGAAGCCUGGUUGCUCGCCUGCUGCCUUUGGACUAUGGCCCCCUGUUAAAAGACAUCUUUUUUACCUGCAGAAAAGCUUCAGUCGUGCUUUUCUGCCUGGGUUUCAGUAGAUUUGUUUGAAUGUGUUACACCCCAGAUGGGAAUCCCAUGGAGCCCAUUCGUAUGAAACUGACUGUAAAGACUUUGGCUCCAUGGUGAUUAAACUGUAUUUGUGUGGUCCGAGCGCCAUUCACUUAAUAAUGUGCGCUCAGACCUGAGCUAUCUGGGGAUAUGUGAAAUGUCUGUGUUUUAUGUAUAAAUGUGACUUUAUGUAUUUUAAAGUGCUUUGUGUCUUUUUGCAACCAUGUGCUUAAUGGAGUCUUGUGUCUGUCCUGGGAGAUAAUUGAAUUACUUAUC